Long non-coding RNA from Ziziphus jujuba (common jujube), 1007 nucleotides. RefSeq lists it as uncharacterized. The transcript has 2 exons. NCBI's taxonomy places the organism in Eukaryota, Viridiplantae, Streptophyta, Magnoliopsida, Rosales, Rhamnaceae. The record is from RefSeq and is a predicted model, not a curated record.
GAGUCAUCAUCUUAUUUUAGAAAAAUAUUUCACAGAAUAAGGUUUUAUUUUUCCCCUUCAAUCUUUAGUAAAAUUAAUAGAUUUGUAUUUAAAAAAUAAAUAAAAAACAAAUUUUUUGAAUAAAAAUAAAAAACAAUUUCAAGAAAAAUAUAGAAAAAGAAGGUUAUUUUAAUUCAUAAAAUUAAUUAAUUUUUUUUGCCUAUGAAUUUUAUUAUUUUAUCAUUCUUAUUAGCUUCUUGGCUCGGCUAUUUCUAGAACGCAUUACAACAAUCUACCUUUUUUUUUUUUUUUCAAUCCGAUCUGAACUUCUUGCGGCAAAUCAUGCUCUCUAUAGCUUCCUGUUUGGUUUCCAAGAAACCAGAAGAAAAUUGGGAAAGCACUACAAGAAAAUAAAAAGAAAAAAACCUAAAAAGAAAAACAGUAUCUUCUUUCCUAGAUUUGUAAGAUUUUGAAACAUUAAUGUUGGAUUGGAAGUUUCAAAAAAUGCAUUCUUUUGUUUUCCAGCAGACAUUCAAUGGGUCCCCCAAAGACACCAUCAAGCCAUUUGUGCUGGGUUGCGUAUUCGAUCGGAUCUUGAAUUUAUAGGGCUGCUUAUUCGAGUCUGCGUCUCUUUUUAUCCGCAGCCAUUCAUUUGUUCGGAUUCACGUUUCUGUACGUGUAGGUGAUGUAUGACAAGGAUCUUCCUAGCCAAAAAGGAGAUAAAAAGGGUGCUUGACAAGAAGAAAGUGAGGGGGCCAAGUUGUACUGUCUCAGAAGAAAAUUGGAAACACUUAAAUAAGCAUUAGAAAAGGCAAUAUGGCUCAUGGAGAUUCCUUGAUAAAGUGUUGCCAAUUUCAAGUUCAUUUUGUACUUUUUUUCUUUCCACUCUGGAAUUAGGUCUAGUUAAUGUAUGGGAGAGGCCAGCGUUGCUAAUUCAAUACAACUUUGCCAAAACUGAUAAAUCUGAUUUUACUAUGUUAAUGAAUAUUUUUCGCGUCAACAGAAUUAUGAUUGAUGGGUUAUUAUCA